CACGGAGGGUGCGAGCGUUGUUCGGAAUUAUUGGGCGUAAAGGGCGCGUAGGCGGAUUGGUCAGUCUCUUGGUGAAAUCUUCACCGCUUAACGGGAAAAUUGCCGGAGAUACUACCAGUCUUGAGAGCGGUAGAGGUGAGUGGAAUUCCAGGUGUAACGGUGGAAUGUUUAGAUAUCUGGAAGAACACCAGUGGCGAAGGCGACUCACUGGACCGUAUCUGACGCUGAGGCGCGAAAGCCAGGGGAGCGAACGGGAUUAGAUACCCCCGUA
RNAcentral lists this ribosomal RNA (271 nucleotides) under uncultured prokaryote. Its description in RNAcentral is "partial 16S ribosomal RNA". It matches the Rfam family "Bacterial small subunit ribosomal RNA", at positions 524 to 792 of the family's 1533-position model. The record is from RNAcentral.